This 520-nucleotide ribosomal RNA is filed under the name uncultured Glomeraceae. RNAcentral's name for it is "SSU rRNA". It matches the Rfam family "Eukaryotic small subunit ribosomal RNA", at positions 569 to 1088 of the family's 1831-position model. Lineage: Eukaryota; Fungi; Glomeromycota; Glomeromycetes; Glomerales; Glomeraceae. The record is from RNAcentral.
AGCAGCCGCGGUAAUUCCAGCUCCAAUAGCGUAUAUUAAAGUUGUUGCAGUUAAAAAGCUCGUAGUUGAAUUUCGGGGUUAGUAGGUUGGUCAUGCCUCUGGUAUGUACUGGUCUCACUGAUUCCUCCUUCUUUAUGAACCGUAAUGCCAUUAAUUUGGUGUUGCGGGGAAUUUGGACUGUUACUUUGAAAAAAUUAGAGUGUUUAAAGCAAGCUAACGCUUGAAUACAUUAGCAUGGAAUAAUGAAAUAGGACGUUCGAUCUUAUUUUGUUGGUUUCUAGGAUUUGACGUAAUGAUUAAUAGGGAUAGUUGGGGGCAUUAGUAUUCAAUUGUCAGAGGUGAAAUUCUUGGAUUUAUUGAAGACUAACUACUGCGAAAGCAUUUGCCAAGGAUGUUUUCAUUAAUCAAGAACGAAAGUUAGGGGAUCGAAGACGAUCAGAUACCGUCGUAGUCUUAACCAUAAACCUAUGCCGACUAGGGAUCGGAUGAUGUUAAUUUUUAAUGACUCAUUUCGGCGCCU